This 292-nucleotide ribosomal RNA is filed under the name uncultured bacterium. Its description in RNAcentral is "partial 16S ribosomal RNA". It matches the Rfam family "Bacterial small subunit ribosomal RNA", at positions 505 to 796 of the family's 1533-position model. The record is from RNAcentral.
GUGUCAGCAGCCGCGGUAAUACGUAGGGGGCAAGCGUUGUCCGGAUUUAUUGGGCGUAAAGCGCACGCAGGCGGUCUUGUAAGUUUCGAGUGACAGGUGGUGGCUUAACUGCCACAGGCCUUGGAAAACUGCAAGACUUGAGGACUUCAGAGGGAUGCGGAAUUCCAGGUGGAGCGGUGAAAUGCGUAGAGAUCUGGAAGAACACCAAUGGCGAAGGCAGCAUCCUGGGAAGUAACUGACGCUCAGGUGCGAAAGCCAGGGGAGCGAACGGGAUUAGAUACCCCAGUAGUCC